AACGAACGCUGGCGGCAUGCCUAACACAUGCAAGUCGAACGAGACCUCCGGGUCUAGUGGCGCAUGGGUGCGUAACGCGUGGGAACCUGCCCUUAGGUUCCGAAUAACUCUCUGUAAGGGGUGCUAAUACCGGAUAAUGUCCUCUGACCAAAGAUUUAUCGCCUUUGGUUGGGCCCGCGUUGGUUUAGCUGGUUGGUAGGGUAAAAGCCUACCAAGGCGACGAUCCAUAGCGGGGCUGAGAGGAUGAUCAGCCACACUGGGACUGAGACACGGCCCAGACUCCUACGGGAGGCGGCAGUGGGGAAUACUGGACUAUGGGCGAAAGCCUGAUCCAGCAAUGCCGCGUGAGUGAUGAAGGCCUUAGAGUUGUAAAGCUCUUUUACCCGGGAUGAUAAUGACAGUACCGGGAGAAUAAGCUCCGACUAACUCCGUG
Molecule: ribosomal RNA, 433 nt
Filed under: uncultured bacterium
Lineage: Bacteria
Description: partial 16S ribosomal RNA
Rfam family: Bacterial small subunit ribosomal RNA
Source: RNAcentral